This is a long non-coding RNA of Solanum lycopersicum (tomato), 1250 nucleotides long. RefSeq lists it as uncharacterized. NCBI's taxonomy places the organism in Eukaryota, Viridiplantae, Streptophyta, Magnoliopsida, Solanales, Solanaceae. The record is from RefSeq and is a predicted model, not a curated record.
CGAACACUGCAUCUUCUAAUUGUACUAAACGUAGUACUAAUUGUACAAUAUAUUUGGCCCUUCUUCUUUGAUGAAUAAACACGUGUCUCACUUUUGCUUCACUUUGUGUGCAAUUUUUGCACUAUCAUCUCACAAUUCUCUAUAGAUUUCUAUCUCCUCUUCUGCUAAGCUUGGUCUAUUUUCUGAACUCUUCUUUGUAGGUCUCAACUCUUCAAUGGUGAAUCCAUGUGUUACUGAGUGUCUUCUCUUUAUGUAGACACUUAAAAUCUCUGUUGUUUGUUUUGAAUGCCAUACCAAAGUAUUUCUUCAUGAUUUCAGGGGCUGUUUUGGGUGCUUGUAAUUCCUGUACUAUGCUUCGACACAAAAACACAAGAGCAUAAAAUCCAGCUUUGUUAAUGCAAGUUCCUCCACGGUUAGUUUGUCCGAAGUAAUGACUUUUGAUGAGCAACAAAUGGCAUUGGGUUGUGAGUACGUACACAUUUUCUCCUCUUCUAAGGCUGAAUACAAAUCCAAUUAAUAUGUGUGUCAGUUUAAAUAUUAGACAAUCUUGCAUCAAUGAGUAGCAGCAAAAAAAAAUUGAUACUUAAUACUAUUUAAUAGUUAUAGAUAAAUGUAAGGGAAAAUGACAGAUAUAUCCCGAACUAUCAUAAAUGAUACGUCAAUAUCCUUCGUUAUGCUUUCGGAUUGUAUAUAUCCUUACUGUCAAUAUUUCGGAACAUAUAUACCCUUAGAAUAGACGGAGAGACACGUGUCAUGAUCUUAACGGUCCAUACAAAUUUAAUUUAGUUCUUACCCAUAAAUAAAAAAACCGACCCAUCUUUCAAAAUUUUAACCCAUUUAUAACCCAUAUUGUAACCAAAAGCACCCAAAGUCAAAAGUGAAGUUUCAGUAAGACAAUCAAAACUCUCAAAUUCAUCUUUUCUUAACUUCUAUACACAAAACCUUAUUUCAAACGUUAAGAUUUGAAAAACAAUUUCAAGCGAAGAAGAAGAUUUUUUUUUUUCCAGAAAUCCUUUGGACUAUUUCUUAUUCUUCAUGUUCUUCAACCAAAAAUGUUUGUAGAAUAUUUCAAUUGAUUUGACUAAAAUCACUCAUAAAGAUUUUGAUUUUGAUUGUAUGAAAUUGAAAAAAAUAUGAUGAAACUCAAAUUACGAAAUUCAAUUUCACUUAUAAAAGCAACCAUCAAGUCUUAAUCUUUCACACUCAAUUCAUUAUUCCACAAUUUUUGAUAUUAUCCUAACGUUUAUUGC